UGUGACGUCACUGAGCGCUGAUAAGCGUCACUUCUUCUUCUCGUGGUGCUUACGCUUCUCUGACCUCUGCAGACCGAGCGCGGUCCUAAACGCAAGGAAAUGUCUCCUCCAGUGCAAGUCUCACCGCUGAUUAAGACAGCCAGAUGGUCUGCAUUGCUCGUUGGUAUUCUCUACGGAAAGCGCAGAUAUGAUAAUCUGAAACCAAUUGCGGAGGAGGAGAGGAGAAUAGAAGAGGAAGAGAAGAAGGUACGAGAGGAGAAGGAACGCAUUGCUAAGCAGCUAGCAGAAGCUAAUGAAGACACAAUCUUGAAGUGAGCUGCUCUAAACGACAUCUGUAUAAUUUCUGUUGUAAAGAUCGUAGAGUAAUGCUUGUGUUCUGCCACUUUGGUUUUACAGUGCCCUUUUCACACCUUUCACUGUUUUCAAAUAGAUCAUGUCCGAUUAAUGCCUCAUUGUGUUAAAUAAUUACUGAAUACAUGAAAAUGUGUAUAAAUUUCCUCCGAUCUGACUCUGUUUCUUCUUUCAUUGAAGAAUCUCUGAUUAUAAUGCGAUGCAGAAGAUGUAAAGCUUGCAAUGUAAUGUUGAAAAUACACUGAAUCAUAGUUCCACUUCGGUAAACAUCCACACCAAUAUUUAUUAAUAAAAAGAAAUCGGGAUUAACA
Long non-coding RNA from Carassius gibelio (silver crucian carp), 662 nucleotides. RefSeq lists it as uncharacterized. The transcript has 4 exons. The record is from RefSeq and is a predicted model, not a curated record. Lineage: Eukaryota; Metazoa; Chordata; Actinopteri; Cypriniformes; Cyprinidae.